AUGCUUGCAUCGGCAGCACAUGUGUUAAAAUUGGAAUGAUACAGAGAUUAGCAGGCCCCUGUGCAAGGACGACACAUAAAUUUAUGAAGAGUUCCACAUAUUU
RNAcentral lists this small nuclear RNA (103 nucleotides) under Sciurus vulgaris (Eurasian red squirrel). Lineage: Eukaryota; Metazoa; Chordata; Mammalia; Rodentia; Sciuridae. The record is from RNAcentral.